This 106-nucleotide microRNA precursor is filed under the name Tursiops truncatus (common bottlenose dolphin). RNAcentral's name for it is "microRNA 767 (ENSTTRG00000022401.1)". The stretch from base 10 to 95 matches the Rfam family "mir-767 microRNA precursor family". Lineage: Eukaryota; Metazoa; Chordata; Mammalia; Artiodactyla; Delphinidae. The record is from RNAcentral.
UUUUGUAUUAUAGGUUUUUGCUCAUGCACCAUGCUUGUCUGACCAUGCAGCAUGCUUGUCUGCUCAUACUCCAUGGUUCCUGAGCAGGAACUGUCAUUGCUUACUG